Molecule: ribosomal RNA, 214 nt
Filed under: uncultured Anaerolineaceae bacterium
Lineage: Bacteria; Bacillati; Chloroflexota; Anaerolineae; Anaerolineales; Anaerolineaceae
Description: partial 16S ribosomal RNA
Rfam family: Bacterial small subunit ribosomal RNA
Source: RNAcentral
UGGGACGACGUCAAGUCAGCAUGACCUUUAUAUCCAGGGCUACACACACGCUACAAUGGUCAGUACAAUGGGUUGGCCAAGCCGCGAGGCGGAGCCAAUCCUAAAAAGACUGGCCUCAGUUCUAGAUUGCAGUCUGAAACUCGACUGCAUGAAGUCGGAGUUGCUAGUAAACGCAGGUCAGCUAUACUGCGUUGAAUACGUUCCCGGGGCCGUU